CAGGUACUCCUGUAGAGCGAAGAUCUUCAUCAGAGUGCUCAGUCUAGGAAGCCAGUCAGUGUUCAGUAAAUACGGGAUAAUUAAUGAUCAUAAAGGAGAUGCAUUGUCACUGAAUAGCUAAAUUCUUGCUUCAAAGAACCUGAGGUUACUCUCUCUUUUUAUCUGUUUUCUACUGGGAUACGCGUUGGAGAUACAUUUACUUAUGUCUUCUAGACACUACCGUUAUACAUACAUAUAUACCUACAUACAUACACACUGUUCAGAAAAACAGCAGUCUGGUUUUAUUACAAUAAUAGGAUAAGACAGAUCUUUGUAAAGAGGAUCAAAGAAUCUCUCAACAGAAUAUGAAUUUUUCCAUUUUCCUUGCUCAGAUGAAUGAAUUGGAUUGAUUUAAAAAGUUGGACCCCCAUGAAAUGCCUGACAGAGUCACUUAGGGUCUACAUCGAAAUCUGAAAAAAUUUGGCUGAACACCAAUUAGGAAUUGCUGGGGAUCUUAGACACAUGACUGUACACCCGUCAAAGACUUUUCUUGAGGUAGUUUGGGGGUUUCCCUGGGGAAAGUAUUAAUAUUGACCUACUGUGACUAUUACUUAUACUACUCUCUUCUUAUGCUAACACAUACUGUUUUUGGAAUGUACAUUCUUGAUGUUUAAUUAUGUGCUAUCUUGUAUGUCCUCCAGUAACAAGGUUGUAAGUUUCCCACAAGGACCCGAACUGUAUGUUGAAGCAGUACUGGGACUUCUAAGGAGUACCAAAUGUAACAGUUCAUUAGUUGGGCUGACCCACGUGCAAAUCCAUUAACGCAGGAGUCUUCUCUGCUUCCCAAACCGGGAGUCCCAGCCACAGCCCGGGGGCCCUGGAAACUCCAGCCAGUUUAUUAAAGUGCCUUCCCCGCCUGUGACCAUCAGGUACAGUUUCUUUCUGGAUUAUUUCACAUUCCAGUAAAUUAGUUUUAUCCGCUCUGAAACAUUUUAACAAAGAAAGCUCUCUGCUCAUCAUACGAGUAAAAUAACAAGGAAUAAAAGAACGUGUACUUCACCUAAUCAGAAACAAUUCCAAAUCUCCCUUGAAAAUGCAACCUUUCCUGUCCCGCCACCCUUUUCAUUUAUCUUACGCUGGUGGAAUUUUGAAAU
This 1133-nucleotide long non-coding RNA is filed under the name Papio anubis (olive baboon). RNAcentral describes it as "lncRNA (ENSPANG00000046014.1)". The record is from RNAcentral. Lineage: Eukaryota; Metazoa; Chordata; Mammalia; Primates; Cercopithecidae.